CAGGCCUAACACAUGCAAGUCGAGCGCCCGCAAGGGAGCGGCAGACGGGUGAGUAACACGUGGGAACCUACCCUUUCCUACGGAAUAACACAGAGAAAUUUGUGCUAAUACCGUAUACGCCCUUCGGGGGAAAGAUUUAUCGGGGAAGGAUGGGCCCGCGUCCGAUUAGCUAGUUGGUGGGGUAAUGGCCUACCAAGGCGACGAUCGGUAGCUGGUCUGAGAGGAUGAUCAGCCACAUUGGGACUGAGACACGGCCCAAACUCCUACGGGAGGCAGCAGUGGGGAAUAUUGGACAAUGGGCGCAAGCCUGAUCCAGCCAUGCCGCGUGAGUGAUGAAGGCCUUAGGGUUGUAAAGCUCUUUCACCCACGACGAUAAUGACGGUAGUGGGAGAAGAAGCCCCGGCUAACUUCGUGCCAGCAGCCGCGGUAAUACGAAGGGGGCUAGCGUUGUUCGGAAUCACUGGGCGUAAAGCGUACGUAGGCGGACCGUUAAGUCGGAGGUGAAAGCCUGGGGCUCAACCCCAGAAUUGCCUUCGAUACUGGCGGUCUCGAGUCCGGGAGAGGUGAGUGGAACUGCCAGUGUAGAGGUGAAAUUCGUAGAUAUUGGCAAGAACACCAGUGGCGAAGGCGGCUCACUGGCCCGGUACUGACGCUGAGGUACGAAAGCGUGGGGAGCAAACAGGAUUAGAUACCCCUGGUAGUCCACGCCGUAAACGAUGGAAGCCAGCCGUCGGGCAGCAUGCUGUUCGGUGGGCGCAGCUAACGCUUUGAGCUUCCCGCCUGGGGAGUACGGUCGCAAGAUUAAAACUCAAAGGAAUUGACGGGGGCCCGCACAAGCGGUGG
This 843-nucleotide ribosomal RNA is filed under the name uncultured Alphaproteobacteria bacterium. Its description in RNAcentral is "bacterial SSU rRNA". It matches the Rfam family "Bacterial small subunit ribosomal RNA", at positions 43 to 935 of the family's 1533-position model. Lineage: Bacteria; Pseudomonadati; Pseudomonadota; Alphaproteobacteria. The record is from RNAcentral.